Molecule: ribosomal RNA, 733 nt
Filed under: Listeria monocytogenes
Lineage: Bacteria; Bacillati; Bacillota; Bacilli; Caryophanales; Listeriaceae
Description: bacterial SSU rRNA
Rfam family: Bacterial small subunit ribosomal RNA
Source: RNAcentral
UUUAAAGAGAGUUUGAUCCUGGCUCAGGACGAACGCUGGCGGCGUGCCUAAUACAUGCAAGUCGAACGAACGGAGGAAGAGCUUGCUCUUCCAAAGUUAGUGGCGGACGGGUGAGUAACACGUGGGCAACCUGCCUGUAAGUUGGGGAUAACUCCGGGAAACCGGGGCUAAUACCGAAUGAUAAAGUGUGGCGCAUGCCACGCUUUUGAAAGAUGGUUUCGGCUAUCGCUUACAGAUGGGCCCGCGGUGCAUUAGCUAGUUGGUAGGGUAAUGGCCUACCAAGGCAACGAUGCAUAGCCGACCUGAGAGGGUGAUCGGCCACACUGGGACUGAGACACGGCCCAGACUCCUACGGGAGGCAGCAGUAGGGAAUCUUCCGCAAUGGACGAAAGUCUGACGGAGCAACGCCGCGUGUAUGAAGAAGGUUUUCGGAUCGUAAAGUACUGUUGUUAGAGAAGAACAAGGAUAAGAGUAACUGCUUGUCCCUUGACGGUAUCUAACCAGAAAGCCACGGCUAACUACGUGCCAGCAGCCGCGGUAAUACGUAGGUGGCAAGCGUUGUCCGGAUUUAUUGGGCGUAAAGCGCGCGCAGGCGGUCUUUUAAGUCUGAUGUGAAAGCCCCCGGCUUAACCGGGGAGGGUCAUUGGAAACUGGAAGACUGGAGUGCAGAAGAGGAGAGUGGAAUUCCACGUGUAGCGGUGAAAUGCGUAGAUAUGUGGAGGAACACCAGUGG